RNAcentral lists this ribosomal RNA (111 nucleotides) under Dysgonamonadaceae bacterium. The record is from RNAcentral. Lineage: Bacteria; Pseudomonadati; Bacteroidota; Bacteroidia; Bacteroidales; Dysgonomonadaceae.
UCAGGCGGCUAUAGCGCCGGGGUUCCACCUCUUCCCUUCCCGAACAGAGUAGUUAAACCCGGUUGCGCCAAUGGUACUGCAUCUCUGUGGGAGAGUAGGUCGUCGCCGGAU